CCUACGGGAGGCAGCAGUGGGGAAUAUUGGACAAUGGGCGCAAGCCUGACCCAGCCAUACCGCGUGUGUGAAGAAGGCCUUCGGGUUGUAAAGCACUUUAAGCAGGGAGAAAAAGUUAUAAGUUAAUACCUUAUAACCCUGAUGUUACCUGCAGAAUAAGCACCGGCUAAUUCCGUGCCAGCAGCCGCGGUAAUACGGAAGGUGCAAGCGUUAAUCGGAAUUACUGGGCGUAAAGCGCGCGUAGGUGGUUUGUUAAGUUGGAUGUGAAAGCCCUGGGCUCAACCUAGGAACUGCAUCCAAAACUAACUCACUAGAGUACGAUAGAGGGAGGUAGAAUUCAUAGUGUAGCGGUGGAAUGCGUAGAUAUUAUGAAGAAUACCAGUGGCGAAGGCGGCCUCCUGGAUCUGUACUGACACUGAGGUGCGAAAGCGUGGGUAGCGAACAGGAUUAGAUACCCUGGUAGUCCACGCCGUAAACGAUGACAACUAGCUGUUGGAAGACAACGUCUUUCAGUGGCGCAGCUAACGUUUUAAGUUGUCCGCCUGGGGAGUACGGUCGCAAGACUAAAACUCAAAUGAAUUGACGG
Molecule: ribosomal RNA, 586 nt
Filed under: uncultured bacterium
Lineage: Bacteria
Description: bacterial SSU rRNA
Rfam family: Bacterial small subunit ribosomal RNA
Source: RNAcentral